RNAcentral lists this ribosomal RNA (520 nucleotides) under uncultured Glomus. RNAcentral's name for it is "SSU rRNA". It matches the Rfam family "Eukaryotic small subunit ribosomal RNA", at positions 569 to 1089 of the family's 1831-position model. The record is from RNAcentral. Lineage: Eukaryota; Fungi; Glomeromycota; Glomeromycetes; Glomerales; Glomeraceae.
AGCAGCCGCGGUAAUUCCAGCUCCAAUAGCGUAUAUUAAAGUUGUUGCAGUUAAAAAGCUCGUAGUUGAAUUUCGGGAUCAGUAGGUUGGUCGUGCCACCGGUACGUACUGGUCUCACUGAUUCCUCCUUCCUGAAGAACCGUAAUGCCAUUAAUUUGGUGUUGCGGGGAAACAGGACUGUUACUUUGAAAAAAUUAGAGUGUUUAAAGCAGGCUAACGCUUGAAUACAUUAGCAUGGAAUAAUGAAAUAGGACGAUCGAUCCUAUUUUGUUGGUUUCUAGGAUUGACGUAAUGAUUAAUAGGGAUAGUUGGGGGCAUUAGUAUUCAAUUGUCAGAGGUGAAAUUCUUGGAUUUAUUGAAGACUAACUACUGCGAAAGCAUUUGCCAAGGAUGUUUUCAUUAAUCAAGAACGAAAGUUAGGGGAUCGAAGACGAUCAGAUACCGUCGUAGUCUUAACCAUAAACUAUGCCGACUAGGGAUCGGAUGAUGUUAAUUUUAUAAUGACUCAUUUCGGCGCCUU